This 895-nucleotide long non-coding RNA is filed under the name Setaria italica (foxtail millet). RNAcentral's name for it is "long non-coding RNA (SITA_LNC002379)". Lineage: Eukaryota; Viridiplantae; Streptophyta; Magnoliopsida; Poales; Poaceae. The record is from RNAcentral.
AAAUCAUCGUUACCAGACUCUUACAAAUCGGUUGUUGGAUCUACUAAGUUAGCAAAAGCGGCUAUUCUUUUUUUUUGGAAAAUCCAAAAUAGACUUAUGACUGAAUACAACUGACAACCAUGGCCUUCUGACUUGUGUUGCAGAUUUGAUUGGACCAACGUUGCUACUCCUGAGGCAAGACAUUCACCAAAACAUCCAGCUAAUUCAUCUGUACGAACCUGGUAAUUACCCAGCAGCAUAUAUUUUAUGUACAUAUUAUCUUUGUUUAAUGAUGCAUCAUUGUUACAGCAUAGAUAUUAUAGUAAAUCCACAGUACUCCAAUUACCAGGUUCCACAGUACUCCAAUUUCUUUUGCCAUUUUUUACUUGUGCACCAAUAUUAUAGUAAAUCCACGCUGGCCUGUCGUACAUUCAUAGUCAGAUUUCAAUACUUACAUUCUGUGGUUUUACUACUGCAAUGCAUGAAAAAAACUUACACUACUUUCACCUGGUUAUAGCAUGGAAGCUCCGUUUCAAUGCUACAUUAGGUUGCAAAAUAUCUAUACAAUUUACCACUUCUACAUAUUCAUGUCGUCUCUGCAUUUUUUUGUUCACUGCAUAUAUCAUGUGGUAAGUUAACCAUAUAUUUUAAUAUUUAUUGGAUAUAGACUGGAAGUUCCAUCAAAGGGUGUUUGUCCUGCUGCAGUUUUGACAGAUAUAUUAGGUUAUGCAAAUAUCCAUGUUACAUUGUUUCAUGAAUAAUAAUAUCUUUCUUUCUAAAAAACAGGACAUGAAGAAAAUUCAGGGCAGAUUAAAAUCUUUCGGGAUCCGCACCACACAAGGCGAAUGGACUUUUGAUGUUAGCGCGGUCACCGGGGCAGCCGAUGCACAGCCAGUUGCAGGAGCUGAUGCACAAC